Long non-coding RNA from Alligator mississippiensis (American alligator), 3301 nucleotides. RefSeq lists it as uncharacterized. The transcript has 6 exons. The record is from RefSeq and is a predicted model, not a curated record. NCBI's taxonomy places the organism in Eukaryota, Metazoa, Chordata, Crocodylia, Alligatoridae.
CGUGUGCAGGGGAUGGCUUAGUGUUUAGGGCCUGGGUCCUGUCACGUGAUAAAUCUGCGCUGUCUCGGUUCCCACAGACGCGCACAGCCUGCCCCUCCUGGGCGCCCGUGGAGGGGAGAGCAAGGCCCCGGGCUCGGGGGAGGCCUCUCGUGGUGGAGAAACUGGCUGCUGAGCUGGAGCCCGUGGCAGCCGUGCACCGUCCUGUCGCAGCCCUGGUACAGCCGGAGGCGAAGGUGCAGGAGCAGGACCCUGGAGGAGUCAAGGUAGGAGCUGAGGGGGCAGGAAAAGCCCUUCUCGUCUCCAAGCUGGGACUGGCGAGGCGCCCCCGAGAUGGCUGGUGCAACAGCAAGUGAAAUAGCGGCCUGCAACACAGCAAGGCGCUGCGGGAGGCUUGCGGCCGCUUGCGGGAGCUCGGCAAUGCAGCGAGGGGCAGAUGCUGGCGGUGCUGGAGCAGUUUGUGGCCAUCCUGCGCCAGGAGAUGCAGAGCUGAGAGCGGGGGGCGCAGCGUGGAGACCUGCGCUGGCGCCGCGACUCUGCCCGAAAGGUUUCAGCUGGGGCAGGCGGAGGAUGAGAAGCUCCAGGUUAAAGCAUUCAUUUCACCCUGACCAUCAAUGCUGUUGUGUCCACCUGUGUGUGUCUGGGGGGAUAUUUCCUCCCACCCCCAUCUCUCCCAGCUCCCCAGUGACCUAUUUAUCUUGUCUGCAGGUCACAGUGAAUGUGAAGGUCAAGGAGGUGUCCUCAGAUGAGAUGCAGCGCGCUAGGGUAUUACAGGAACCUGUUGAUUCCUGGCUGGAGCUGCUGAAGGCCCAUCUUACAGACAUGCCUCUGGAGGAGACGGGACCGAGGAAAGCUCCAGGGCCUCAGCACAAGUCACCUUGUGUCCCCAGAGAGGAGCCUCUGUCCAGCCAGGAGGCAGGCAAGGAGGAGCAGGGACCCUGAGUAAGUCUGAUCAGCAGCCUCCUAAGGAAGGGCCUGUAAACCUGGAGAUGCAGAGGACUUCCUCAGAGAGACUGGGGAAUAGGGGUCCCCUGACACCUGAACCAGACCAAGUGCAGAAGAAGCAGCGAAGGCCUUCAAAGCACAAGGAGAGCAUGGAGCACCAGGAGGUCUUUGAGCACAUGGCUUUGUAUUUCAUGCGGAAGGAAUGGGAGCUGCUGGAAGAUGCAGACAAGGUGCUUUACCGGAACCAGAUGCUGAAGAAUUACCAAGCCCUUGUUAACCUGGGAUAUCGAGGUCCCACACCUGACUUAAUAUAUCGCAUCCAGCAAGGAUGGGUAGAGCUCUGAGUCGGUGAUGAGGAAGACUGUGGGGAAAUCUCAAGGUUGGAGAACCUGCUGUCAGGAGGUGCUUGGCUGCUGAGCAGAGCUGAGGAGCAGCCUCCUGAGGAAGGGCCCUCAAACCUGGAGCCACCAUGCAUUUCCCUAGGGAGUUUGGGUGAGAUGGACUCCCUGAGAUCUGAGAAGGAGCCAUGGCAUAAGAGUCAUGGGAGGCCCCAAAAGCAGAAGAACAUAGCAGUGAACGAGCACCAGCUCAUUCACUUUGAGAGGAAGGCAUACUGCUGCAGCAAGUGCAGGAAGAACUUAAUCUGCUGGCAAGAUCUUUUCCCAGCAUCAGUGUGUGCAGAAGGGGGAGCAGCUACACCAGUGUGCCAAGUGUGGGAAGAGCUUCAGGCAGCCCUCCAGCCUGUCCAGGCACAGGUGUGUGCACAUCAGGGAGAAGCCACAUCCAUGUUCUGAGUGUGGUAAGAGCUUCACUCGGUCCUCAGUGUUGGCCAAACACAAGCUCAUCCACACAGGGAAGAAGCCACAUCAGUGCUCUGAUUGUGGGAAGAGCUUUUCUGGCUCUUCCCACUUGACCUGGCACCAGCAUAUCCACACAGGAGAGAAGCCACAUAAAUGCCCUGUGUGUGGGAAGAGCUUCACUCAGUCCUGCCACCUGACAUGGCACCAGCUUAUCCACGUGGGUGCUCUGUGUGUGGGAAGAGGUUCAGGCAGCCCUCCAGCUUGGCUAAGCACAGUUGCAUCCACACAGGGGAGAAGCCACAUCAGUGUCCUGAGUGUGGCAAGAGCUUCAGCUGCUCCUCCACCCUGGCCCGGCAUCAUUAUCUCCAUACAAGGAAGAAUGCACAUCGGUGCCUUAAAUGUGGAAAAAGCUUCACUUGCCCUUCCCACCUGGCCCAGCACCAGCUUAUACACACAGGGGAAAAACCACAUUGGUGCCCUGAGUGUGGGAAGUGCUUCAGUCAGUCCUACAACCUAUCCAAUCACCAGCGCAUACACACAAGGAAAAAGCCACAUCCGUGCUCAGAGUGUGGGAAGAGCUUCUUCCUGUUUUCACACCUGGCCCUGCAUCAGCGCAACCACACAGGGGAAAAGCCACAUUGGUGCCCUGACCGUAGGAAGUUCUUCAGCCUGCCCUCCCACCUGGCCCAGCACCAGCACAUCCACACAGGAGAAAGGCCAUAUCAGUGUUGUGUGUAGAAACAGCUUCACCCAUUCCUUGCACCAGCUCAUACAUAUGGGGGACAAGCCAUAUCGGUGCUCCAAAUAUGGCAAGAGCUUUAACCACUCCUGCAGCCUGUCCCAGCACCAGCUUAUGCACACAGGGGAGAAGCCACAUCAGUGCUCUGUAUGUGGGAAGAGCCUCACCCCGGUUGCCCACCUGGCCCGGCACCGGCAUGUCCACACGUGGGAGCAUACAUUCUGCCAGCAGUGCAGGACGGGCUUGUCGAUAUCUACCUGCUCAGCACCCGCUAGUGGCUGCAUUCAGGCAAGCAGCCUUAUGCUGAUGGGCUGCAGGAAGAAUUCACCCAGCCUUUGGCCCUUGUAGGGCACUGCAGAACCCACAGGAGCCAGAAACUGGCCCCCAAAGUUUAAUUUGAGGAGGAGGGGCCAAGAGGAAACAGCUCAGACCGAGGCCAGCCCAGAUGGUGGGGUAACUUGAGGAGACUCUUUGUAUCAGCCUUGGAGCCUGUGCCUUCCCUGUCGUUCUCCUAAAAACAGUCAGUGCUCCCAAGGAUAGAAGUGCUUUCACAAUAGCAUGCCCUUUCCAGAACAACUAGCUUUAAAUGACACCCAGGGACUGUUUUUUUGCUGCCUCCCAGCUUCGUCUGGCACAUGCUGUUGGGGCACUCCGCCUGGGUGCUGGCCUCUCUGGUGACGGGCAGGCUGGCCUGGGUCCCCAUGUCCAUCCUCUGGGAGGGGAAUCUGCUCUUGAUUGCACAAGAAGUAACUGGUUAGAGAUGGAUCAUGGACAGAAUAGGAUGUAGUUUAAUAAAGUCAAGUGCUAAGUGCUGCACCUA